Megalobrama amblycephala (Wuchang bream) is the source of this 1483-nucleotide long non-coding RNA. RefSeq lists it as uncharacterized. Lineage: Eukaryota; Metazoa; Chordata; Actinopteri; Cypriniformes; Xenocyprididae. The record is from RefSeq and is a predicted model, not a curated record. The transcript has 4 exons.
GUCCAAUCCGGCCUGAGGGAUGAUUCCAACAAUAAUAUAAAAUUACAGUUAUUUGAGACACAAUUUUCUAUCACUCGCUUUCAUUUCGAGUAAGAGAGUUUUCAAAGUUUUAGUGGGCUAUUUCCGGGGUUUUUGUUUGUAAUUGUGUAAUAUCGCGCGCAAAUCUAACGUUAUUCAGCAACGUCAACGUUAAUCGCUUAUUAUUAUUGAAGAUGAGUGUCACAUAAACUAAUAAAAUACCUCUGAUGGCGUUUACUUUAUUUUAACAAUACAUUUGAUGUACGUUCUCUUGUGUAGGAAACAACCGGAUCACGAGACACUACUUUUAAAAUUUUCUUCUUCAGAAGUUGACUGGUGAUCACCCAUCUACAAUCCUUCCUGAUGAAUCACACACCAUCCUCAGAGUGUUUCCAAGGCUGCUGGACACUAAAGAUCUGGUAAGUAUUGGCAUCCUUUUUUUUUUUUCAAUUAAUUAAUAUCUCUGAACUUAGUAUAUGAUUGUCAGAAAUAUGAAUUAAAGUUUUUGUUUCUGUUGCUGCAGAUAGCUCAAAGUUUUAGACUCCUCUUUGGUCCACAAACAGCUUUCGAACUGCUGGAGAAGUGGCCUACAUUCUAUAAGGAAAAGGUGAUCAGAGAAGCAGAGAACCUUGACCUUACUACAGCCUCACAGUUUGCUGAAGUCUGCCAGGAAUCAGUACCAUGAUGAAUCUUCAGAGGAUCUCCCAGAGUGGGACAGUGAUAUGACAUAUAUUUUCUGCUGCUUCUGCAUAUCCUGCCACCACAACCUUUUAAAAAAAGAAAAAACUGAAGAUCAGCGCAGCUCAGGCCAUGGACCAUCUAGCUGUAUUUCACAAGUGAAUCGGCAGCGUAGAAGAACACUUGAAGAAACUGGAGGGACAUCGCCAGCCAUAUCUCCUUGCCUCAGGAACUCACAAGUGGGCCAUCAGCAGUUACUACGUUGUGAUUGACCCGAUGCUCAUUCCAUGUCAGGGAACCAUGUCGUUGACAAGUUUUUGAAGAACUAUUUACAGCACACUUCGUUUUCAGUGUAAGCUCUGCUGAUGCUCUCAGCAACAUGAACACAUUCCUCCAGACAACAGUCUACAGUAUAGAUGUUGACACCACUGAAGAAAGUCCAAAGGUGAAAGAAACUGAGAGCCAAGAUCAUGAACAGGAACUAAGUGUUCGGUUUGCAGAGUAUUCCAUAAUGCACCUGUCAUGUUAUGUGAAGCUUUUGAUGAUACUUGAAGCUCUUCGAUUUUUGAUUGUUUUAUGCUUACAGACUGUUUUAUAUAUAUUGUAUGGCUGCAUCAUAUAGACUGCAAGCAGCAGGUAUGAGCUUUGUUUUAUGAAGUUUAAUGUUGUACAGGGUAUUUUGAGUGCCUGUCCCUGGCUUAAAUGAAAUGUGAAGCCCUGUUAAAGGAAAAAUAAUAAAAUGUAUUCAUUGCAGCACUUUGAUCUGAUUAUUGGGAUGGUAACACUA